This 279-nucleotide ribosomal RNA is filed under the name uncultured bacterium. Its description in RNAcentral is "partial 16S ribosomal RNA". It matches the Rfam family "Bacterial small subunit ribosomal RNA", at positions 506 to 784 of the family's 1533-position model. The record is from RNAcentral.
UGCCAGCCGCCGCGGUAAUACGGAGGUGGCAAGCGUUGUUCGGAAUCACUGGGCAUAAAGAGCGUGUAGGCGGUCUGAUCAGUCGGGUGUGAAAGCCCCCAGCUCAACUGGGGAACUGCAUCCGAAACUGUCGGACUUGAGGCUUGGAGGGGAGAGUGGAAUUCCCGGUGGAGCGGUGAAAUGCGUAGAUAUCGGGAGGAACGCCGGAGGCGAAAGCGACUCUCUGGACAAGUUCUGACGCUGAGACGCGAAAGCUAGGGGAGCAAACGGGAUUAGAUA